Molecule: unclassified non-coding RNA, 89 nt
Filed under: Pseudomonas moraviensis
Lineage: Bacteria; Pseudomonadati; Pseudomonadota; Gammaproteobacteria; Pseudomonadales; Pseudomonadaceae
Source: RNAcentral
UGUAGGAGUGAGCCUGCUCGCGAUAGCGGUAUGUCAGAACCUGAACAUUUGACUGACACCCCGCUAUCGCGAGCAGGCUCACUCCUACA